GAUGAACGCUGGCGGCGUGCCUAAUACAUGCAAGUCGAACGAACAGACGCGGAUCUUGCUCCGCGCACGUUAGCGGAGCACGGGUGAGUAACACGUGGAUCCCCUCCCUAUAAGACUGGGAUAUCUUCGGAAAACCGGAUCUAAUACCAUAUAAUAUAUUGAUCCGCAUGGUUCAAUAGUGAAAUACGGUUUUGCUGGCUGUUAUAGAUGGAUCCGGGCCUCAUUGGCUAGUUGGUGAGGUAGCGGCUUACCAAGGCAAUGCUGCGUAGCCGGCCUGGGAGGGUGACCGGCCACAUUGGGACUGAGAGACGGCGCAGACGCCUACGGGAGGCAGCAGUGGGGAACAUUGCACAAUGGGCGGAAGCCAGAUGCAGCAACGUCGCGUGCGGGAUGACGGCCUUCGGGUUGUAAACCGCUUUCGACUGUGACGAAGCGUGAGUGACGGUAAUGGGUAAAGAAGCACCGGCUAACUACGUG
Molecule: ribosomal RNA, 477 nt
Filed under: uncultured bacterium
Lineage: Bacteria
Description: partial 16S ribosomal RNA
Rfam family: Bacterial small subunit ribosomal RNA
Source: RNAcentral